This 1008-nucleotide ribosomal RNA is filed under the name Triticum aestivum (bread wheat). RNAcentral describes it as "partial small subunit ribosomal RNA". Lineage: Eukaryota; Viridiplantae; Streptophyta; Magnoliopsida; Poales; Poaceae. The record is from RNAcentral.
AUGGACGUCGCCGUCGCCGCCGCCCUGGUUCCCACCCGGACCCCAACCCUCCGUCUCCCCUCAUCCCGCCCCUCCUCCGUGAGGCCCCUCACCCCGACCGCCGGCCGUCCAGCUCGGAUCCUCUCGCUCGCCCGCCGCGCGCCUGUCGCCGCCGCCGCCCUCGGGGUAUCCCAAGAUACAGGGUUCGCGAUGCCCGGUGCCGACAUUGUUACCCAGAACGACUUACUCAUCAUCGGCCCAGGUGUGCUUGGGCGACUGGUAGCCGAGAAGUGGCUAAAGGAACACCCAGGAUGCAAAGUUUAUGGCCAGACCGCAAGCACAGACCAUCACAGCGAGCUAACCAAUAUUGGCAUCAUUCCCUCCUUGAAGGGAUCCACUAUCUCUCAAAAGGCUCCAUAUGUUAUUUUCUGCGCUCCUCCAUCCCGUUCUGAUGAUUACCCCGGCGAUUUGAGAGUGGCUGCCUCAAAUUGGAACGGAGAAGGUUCUUUCCUGUUUACGUCGAGUACUGCUCUUUAUGACUGUAGUGACAACAGAUUGUGCAAUGAGGAUUGUCCAUCUAUUCCAGUGGGCAGGGGUCCUCGUACUGAUGUUCUUCUUAGAGCAGAAAAUGUUGUCCUGGAGGCAGGAGGCUGUGUUCUCAGGCUAGCAGGACUUUAUAAAAUAGAUAGGGGUGCUCAUUAUUUCUGGUUGAGGAAGGGAACACUGGACUCGCGACCAGAUCAUAUUAUCAAUCAGAUCCAUUAUGAGGAUGCGGCAUCCCUUGCAAUUGCCAUAAUGAAAAAGAGACCUCGGGCUCGUAUAUUUUUGGGCUGUGACAAUAAGCCUCUUUCCAGGCAAGAAAUAAUGGACGCUGUUAACAAAAGUGGGAAGUUCGACACGGAAUUCCAAGGUUUCACUGGUACCGGCGGUCCGUUGGGGAAGAGGAUGGAGAAUUCCAAAACCCGGGCCGAUAUCGGGUGGGAGCCCCAAUACCCAAGCUUCACAGAGUUCCUCGGCGUCGACAGUUAG